This 7747-nucleotide long non-coding RNA is filed under the name Gallus gallus (chicken). RNAcentral describes it as "lncRNA (ENSGALG00010020353.1)". The record is from RNAcentral. Lineage: Eukaryota; Metazoa; Chordata; Aves; Galliformes; Phasianidae.
UGUAAAGAUCACAGCCUUUGAGGGAAGACCUGUUAUUUGGACUGGAAGCUUCCAAUACUUUGGAAGCUGUGAGCAAACAAGACCAACGCUGGCUGCGUGAAAUCACUGAGUACGUCAAGUGCAGAAGGGAAAGCACCAAAAAAGCUGAGGGCUUUGAAACUGUUUAUCUAAGUUUCUUGCAUGGCCCCUCUUAUCGCAGCAUGGCAGCACCUCCCGGAUGGUAAGACGUUUAUCUUCUUGCCAACACCCUCACAGGGUUCCUAUCCCUAUUUUGGUUAGGAGACCCCUGUGCAGGCGCUGAGUGAUAUGCCCAAUGGCACUUGGGGUUUCUGUGGCAGAUCAAGGAAUGAAGCUCAGCUUUCCCAUGCCCUGGGCUAAUUCCUUAGCCCUGUGGGAUCCUGCUAGAAAUGAGCAGAAUGGCUUAGCAAAACACAGCAGCAUGUGGAAUUAAUGCUCCAAUGCUGUAUGAGGGAGGCCAUCCUUGAAUCUUAUGUUGGCACUUAAGUCCCAGCCUUUAGAAACAAGUUGCUGUUCUGUAGUGGGGAGCUGAAGUUGGCCCUGGGAUGAGCAGAAUUCAGCUACCUGGGGCAAAACUUAUUAGUCUGAGUAUAGUACUGUGAUGGGCAGGCCGUGCUGCUUCGGAGACCAGAUCUACACAAUGCCAUGUGUGCAGACCAACUGGGAUUCCAGGCUCUUUCAUCACCUUGGGUCAAAGGAGGAUCUCCUUGUGUCAGCAGGCCACUGGAUUACAACAAAUCACAGAACCAUAGGAGGUGGAAGGGUUUUCAAGGGAUCAUCUUGUCCAGCCCUCUUAGUGGGUUCUCCUGUGCAGUCUGCCCUUGUGAAAGCACUAUCCUGGGAUGCUGUUUUGCAUUAGUUUCCUUCCAAAAUGGGUCUGGCAGUUUCAGCCAUUGACCUGCUGGUUGCCCAUGAGUUGCCCCACGUUCUCACUCCUGCUUUCCUACCACCUCCUCCACCUCCUGAUCCAUGCUCUUCCCAUUACUACCACUGCAGAAUACCCUUGUCCUAACAAUGUGCCUUAGAAUCACAAAUAAUGGAGUGGGGAAUGAAUAACAGGAGAGAGUGAAUAUUUACUGUGUCCAGGUUAUUACUUAAUAACUGCCUGCUUCAUUCUUUGAUAACAUUUAAACUAUCUGAAAUUGCUGCAUCUAAUACAUGCUACUAAAUAGUGCCAUGCCCAUAACUUGAUUGCAGCAAUCCAUCGGGGACGUGUUUCAAAAUGUCAACAUUUCUCUGCAGUUCUUAGCACGAGCGUUGAGAAAACCCAGUGUUUCAGAUGCUGCUGGGUCUGCUAGAUGCUGAAGUGGUGUCAGCACGAUUUCUCUUACUCAGUACUGGCACCCAAAGCCACUUUUUGGGUGAGGCCAGAGUAAUAUUGUACACACGGACAGGCAAUUUGCUUAGAAGGGUAUAUGAGGCUGCAGAACAGUGGGAAGGUGAAGACGAGCACAGAAGGCAACAAUCCCUGCUGGCUGCCUUCCUGCUCCAUGCUCUGUUCCCAGUGGUUUCGCUGAACAGGCGAACUGGUGUGCUGUCAGUCUGGAAUGCCAUCAGCUCCUCCAAACCUUGGUUUCUGAGGGCUCGCUCUCCUGUGCACACUCAGCAAGUCUCCAGUAGGAGCGAAAAGCCUCUUCCAUUGUCACUGCAAGGCAGCAACGCAUCACGAAGUCCUCAUCUAAGGAGAUCCUAGAUGAGUGUCUCAUUUGCAUGUCUAACAAAGCUUUGGGUAAUCACGGAGAGGACGCUGGACUCAGUUAAAAGACUGGGUGUUUGGAAAGAGGCAUCUGUGCUCGGCGAUCCCUUGAUCUGCCUCAGAUUUGAGUCCGUCUUGCAAAAGGAUGCUGCAUCUUCGCUGCACAUCUGGAAAUUCCAGAUUUUUGUGGAAGGCAUUGGGUUCCGGAGCUGGGAGGUCUGGGACAUCAUACUGCUUGUUUUUUCAAGCACUCUUCUGUAGCAAAAGUAAUACCAGGAGUGGAAGGCCUUCCCUGGGCAGCCAGCAGAGGGGAGGAAGUACUGGGGUCUGCUGGCACAGCAGAGCUUGCCAAGGGAGAUCUCGAGUCCAGAUCUGGCUGGUUGCAGCAGUUUUGUUAUGGCAUUAUGCAAAGUCCUUUGAAGAUUUCCUCUUGGCAGAGCCUGCCGCGUCAUCACAGAGGUAGAGCAGGGAAUGAUCUAAAUCUUGUUAGGCGUUGUGAAGCAGUCAGAACAGCUGGCUGCAAAAUUAGCCCCUCAACAAAGAAGGAAGCGAGGGGGUUGUAAGCCUGAAAGAGUAGGGGUGAGGCUGUUAGUGAUACAGGACACAGUGCAGCAGGGGGCUGGGGCAGGUUGGCUCUGGCUUGAGAUGUGAAUGAAAGCAAGUGAAGGUGAGUUAAGGUAUUCAGGGAAAGGGGAGAUGAGCACAAUGAAGUCGAUAUAUGGAACAGCUCCUUUUUCUGAAGUUCCACGAUGUUCACCUAAGUGCAGUGAUCUUCAUGUCCUUCUAAUUCCCCUCUUUGCAAUCUCACAAAUCAAGGGGAUGGCUUUGCUUUUACCUGCUGUUGCAUACUGUUGGUAACUCACGGUGGUCUCCCAAGGUGACUGCCCACACCUGGGGCUGGUCAUGCUCUGACUGUGCAGGUGACAGAGCCUUGGCCAGGACACAUUCUGUGCUUGUGUUCCUGCCAUUUCCCCUCACUCUGGGGUGUCACAUCCUCAGGGCCCCAGCACAGAGGUCUUUAGCUUCACAGCGAUGUCUUUCACACCUUCCCCACCAUAUGCUUCUCUUGCUUCCCUUUCCUGCCAAAGUACAUCCCCAACUUCUCUGUCCGCAUUUGCUCCUCCUCUGUCUCUAAUGAGGCAAAUGUUAAAGCUCAGCAAAGGAUAUCUGUUGAGCUCUGAGGAUUGCUGGUGGGAGAAACCCCACGGGUGGCUGAAAAUGUUUCAGCAUCCCCCUUCUUACUUUUCAUUUACAUCUCGUCUCUGCAGAGUGGGUAGUGUUCCUUGGAAACAGCAACACUUAUAUACGUUACUAUAUUACUUAUAUACAUUAACUAUAUUACAUAUAGUACGAGGGCUGCUCCGAAUGUAGUACCUCCCAUUUUAUGAUGUCAACCUACAAAGUCAGAGGCAGAUGUUGGUGGUGUGACAGUAGAGGUUGAACCUUCUCACUAAUAUUCCAUUACAUGUUGUUGCCACGUGACAGAUGGCAGCAAGAGGGGCAGUCUGACAGAAUGGCACUUGAAGAAGAUGGAAGAGCAUAUGAAGCAAAGUUUCCACGGAAAUAAGAAGGCAUUACUUUUGGAACAACCACUGUAGAUGCAGCCCUGGAUAAUUCCUCUUCACCCAAUGUGGCCCAGCGACCAGCAGCAGAGACGCUGUCCUGCCCGUCCCACAUUGUUUUCCCUGUGGCUUGGAAAGCCCAAAAGUCUCUGGUGAAACCUUUGAAAGCUGCUUCUUUAAAGGGCCUGAAAACCUCCACCCCAGCAAAACCCCCAGGCUGGGGCUCUUCACUGAAGACCCACGUUGCAUCCGAGGACAAGGCUUUUUCUUCCCAAGGGGGUCCUGCUGUGCGUGGAAAUAUGAAAGAUGCCCUCGAAAAGAAACAAACCCUUCAGGUUGCAGUAGAGACGGAGUGGGGCUGAACAUCAAUUUCAGCUUUCAAGUGACUUUACGCUGUCUCCUUGAUUGACUUGCCAGUUUUAAUACUGUAAAUUGAGGGAUUGCGUGUAAUGCAUUCAUGCCGUUCUUGUCUGGAAUGAAGCAGGAACAUAAUUUAUGGGGAUAUUCUCAUCUCAGCCUUUGAGGAAUUAGCUUCAAUUAACUCUGUUGGGAAUUGCAUGUGUCGGGUGUCAGAAAGCCAUCAAGUUUUCUUUAGAAAUGCCUGCUGCUGCGCACAUUUCAUUCUUUGGCUGUCUGAAGGGUUUUAGCAGUGGAUAAGGAUUCAAAGCUUGGGAAACUCAGAUCCGGGUGACCAAGUUUCACAGGGUUAAUACAGAGCACGGAUGAUGGACAGGGCUGCAGCCCAUUAGGAUUUAUAGCCCUCCAGUACGAGCAGGAGAGUUUUGGGGGAGGGUCGAGCAGCUCCUGAACCCAGUGUGCAGAAUGAGCAAACAAACCAGGAGACAGGCUGGAAAAUAAGAUCUCGGUGGAUAAAUCUUACUGACACCCAUGAGAAUAAGAAAGAGCAUUGGCUUCGGGUGCCAUUUUGAAACAGAGACUCCUCAGCACUGGGUUUCUGUGCUGGUGGGGACAGAUUCAGGCAGAGAUGUCUGAUGCUUCUUGAAGGCCAAAAAUCCCCCCUCCUGGCCCUUAAUCAGCACUUCAUUAUCAGCUGCCACCCCCAGAUCAGCCACCAGCCUCACUUUGUGGGUGCAAACUGUUUCCCAGAGAUGCCCUCACACCUAAAGGGCCAAUUCUCCAUCCCCAGCUUAUCCCGAGGAUUAAAAACCCACCCAAGCGCCAUCUGAGCAAAUCCAAACCAGGAAUCCUAAUCAGUUCUGUUGCUAAAAGUGCAUUAAUGCGACACAAGAGAGAGCGUGGCUUUCUUCCAGCGGAUCCAACAAUCACAGCUCAUUUGGGUGAGGGAUUUUUCUGCUGCUGUGUAUUGACACAAAGGAGCACUUAGCUUGAUAAUGCCUCCUGGCUGCUGCCACGAUGCGAAUAUUAAGAACAAAUUAAGGUGUAAGACUAAGCUCUAGGUGUUGUUACCUGUUCACGGUGAGGUAGCAGUUGCUUCUUUAGCUUUUUCACACCAAAAUAUUGGCUCUCAGCGCUCAGGAGUUUAAAAAUAAAAUUGAGCUCCUACCUAUCGCAGGAAACAAUUAGGAUGCGAGGUCUCUUUUUAAUAUUUCUUCUGUGGUGUUUCUAAUCUGCAGUUUAAUCUGACAUGGUGUGAAGUAGGACCGGCUGCAAUCCCCAUGAAUCCAGCUGGUCGGGAUGACUUGCUCACUGAGCUGGUUGAAAGCAGUGCGGACACAGCAGCUCGCAUAAAUUGAAUGCCAGCUUGAUGUUUGUCAUGGCCACAGAAAUCCUGAGGCUGAGACUGGUGUCAGCAUGGGGAUUGUCCUGCACCAGAGUUCUGCUGCCUGGACUGGCUGAUCUUGGGGUGUUUGCCACUCUGAAUCCCACUUAGGGUGGCAGUGGCAAAGGUGAAAGUAGUUGCUCAAAUUCUCCGAAGUCAAACUGUAUUGACCCUCAGUUAGGUGUAAAGUUUGUUUGCCUACAUGUACCCUUGACAUGACACCUAACUGAGUGGUGCAGCUGAUAGAUCAGAAGGAAGGGAUGGCACCCAGGAGGACCUGGGCAGGCUUUAAAAGUGGGCCCACAUGAAACCAGUGAAGUUCAACAAGGCCAAGUGCAAGGUACUACUCUUGAAUCAGGAUGAUCCCAGCUGUGGGUACUGGGAGAAGAACUCAUUGUGAGCAGCCCUGCCGAAAAGAACAUGGGGGUUCUGGUGGACAAGAAGCUGAGCAUGAGCCUGCAGUGUGUGCUUGCAGCCCAGAAGACCAGCUGUGUCCUGGGCUGCAUCAAGAGAGGGGUGACACUGGGACAAGGAGGGGAUUGUCCCCCUCUGUUCUGCCUUUGUGAGGCUUCAUCUGCAGUACUGCAUCCAGGCCUGGGGCCUCCAGCACAGAAAGGAUGAGGAGCUGUUAGAGCAGGUCCAGAAGAUUCCACAAAGAUGCUUAGAGGGAUGAAGCACCUCUUCCAUGAAGAAAGGUUGAAGGAAGUGGGCUUGUUCAGCCUGGAGAAGAGAAGGCUCCAGGGAGACCUUAUCGUGGCCUUGCAGUACUUGAUGGGAGAUUAUAAGCAGGAGGGAGACUGGCUUUUUACACAGUCUGAUAGUGGUAUGAUAAGAGGGAAUGGCUUUAUGAGGGGAGAUUUAGGUUAGAUGUUAGAAAGAAUUUUUUUACUCAGAGGAUGGUGAGGCUCUGGCACUGCUGCCCAGAGCUGUGGGUGCCCCAUUACCAACCAAAGCCAUUCUGUCAUUAAUAGUUGCAGAAAGAUGAGUGAUUGGGAUGAAAGAGGUGUCUUCUGGGUUACUGAGUGCUGGCGACAAAGCUGGCCAAACACCCUGCCUCCAGAAAUGAUCUCAGCAGUAUGUGCAGCAUAGUCAAACCUAGGGGACUGGAAGGAACAGGGAGAAAUGAGCAACAGAACAAAGCUAGGCUUGCUUUGGAAAUACUUCAGCUAAGUAAACACAUCUAAAACUAAUCUGCUCUCUAGUGAGACGGGGAAGCUGGAAAAAGCAUGGUGAAGCUUUGGUGGCUGACCAUAUGAAGGAUGAGUUCUAGGAGAUGACAGAACAGCUGCUGGGUGACAGGCUGGGAUGUACACGCUCAGUGCUGGGGAGAACAUGGGCUGCAAGUCCAUUGGCUUUCUGACCCUUCUGGGUGGCACCUUGUCCCCUCCUUGGCACCCGCCUACAACACGGCGGUGAUGAGUGGCAGGAAUUUGGAGAAUAGCACCGGCAGUGUGCUGGAGAGGAUGUGCUGGAGAGGAUGAUUUACGUAUGCAAUGCUGACAAGGAGAUGUGUGCAUAGCUUAGCUAAGCACCAGUCUGACACUGGAGGAGAGGAGGGGAGAGGUUAGGUAAGAGCAGCAGUCAUUGGAAAGCCUGAAGUGCUGGUAAGGAAGGAGGGAUAUUUUCGUUGGUGAGAGAGAGAAUGAGGAAAACAAUGGCAUGGCAACCAACAAAGAAAAGUGCAGUGAGGACAUCUGAUAUGGCAUUUAAUGGCUUUCCAAAGGGAAUGGCUGAAGUUCCAUAAACACAAAAUUUGAACAUUACACAGCAAAUAUGGUGUCAGGAAUUGUCCGGGGAUGAGGAUGGAGAGGAAUUUGGAAGCUUCCCCCACCCUGCUUUGACAAUUGCCCUGCAGCAUCCUGCCCUACCCAGCGGUACCGGAGGACUGCUUGUUCUUAGCAGCCCUGGCAGCAUGAAGUGAAACAUCUUCCUUCCAAAGAUACAGGGGGAUUUGGGAAGAGAUCUCCUCCAGGUGAGCAGCACAGCAUUAACCCCUCAGUUCCACGAGUCCCCCCUGGCUGAGCCCGAGCACUCGUGACUUCAGCUCCCUGCUUUGCCCAGCCAAAAAUGAUCUUUUAUUCCCCAACUUCAUUCAGAAAGGAACAUUCUGCUCAGUAAUGGACGAGGAUGACUGCAAAUGCUACCAGCCACACAGUAGCUCUGCGUUCCUCCUGAUUCACUCCGAGAUACAGAUUUGCUGAGGCUACUGGAAACGAUUGGGAAAUGCAGGAAAUGUAUUAGCAUGUGGCUCGGCAGCAGCUUAGCAAAUCUUGCCAAAAUCUCUCUGGCUGCCUGCGCUUUUUCUCUGCUUUUAAUGUCCUUUCAUCUUCAUUAACCUUUUAUAGCUCUGUCUGAUUGCUGCAGCUUUCCCACCAUUUCCUACCAAAAUGUCACUGUAAUAGCUUUGUUAUGGGCAGCCAAUAUCGAUGUUGGCCAUUGCAGGGCUGUUAACAUCUAAGAGAGUGAUUGAGAUGGGAUGGAGCUGUUUGCGAGCAAUGCUGAAGGUCAGAUGGAAGCUGCCAGGAGUGCAUGUAAGAGGGGAGCAGGAUGAUGUUAAUGGAAAUCACCCUCCGAAAUGCAUCUCGGUGGCUCUCCCAGAUGACCGAUAACCUUGUGAGAAUUGCAGCAGCUUCUGCAGCUCCUCGACCCAGCGAAUAAAUGUCCAGCUUUGUUCGUUUGCAACUGAGUUUUGAGGCCAAGUUUAAAAAUGACAGCAAUAAAAAAAAAAAA